AUUUAUUUAACUGCUCUAUUUCUCUCUCUCUCUCUCUCUCUCUCUCUCUCUGUGUGUGUGUGUGUGUGAGAGAGAGAGAGAGAGAGAGAGAGAGAGAGAGAGAAUUAUGCCACAG
Podarcis lilfordi (Lilford's wall lizard) is the source of this 115-nucleotide non-coding RNA. The record is from the annotation of a GenBank genome assembly. Lineage: Eukaryota; Metazoa; Chordata; Lepidosauria; Squamata; Lacertidae.